Molecule: ribosomal RNA, 534 nt
Filed under: Triticum aestivum (bread wheat)
Lineage: Eukaryota; Viridiplantae; Streptophyta; Magnoliopsida; Poales; Poaceae
Description: partial small subunit ribosomal RNA
Source: RNAcentral
AUGUCCGAUCCAGCGCCGCCGAUUUCUCCAUGGAGUGCAUGGGGUUCUAUCCUAGGUCGCUCGCCGGUCACGGGCUCUCCCUGCCCUGUGCGACUCCUCCGCAGUGUGGUCAUCCUCCCGCGCGAGCGCGGGUGUGCCGCCGUCGUCGAGAUGAACCGCGCCGCCUUCGGUCGCUGCAUGAAUAGUGCAGGAGCUAGCAAAGCUGCCGCUCGCCGUAUGGAACACCAGUACCACCGUGGGAAGGUGGAAGCACAAAUAGAAGCUGCUCUUUCUUCCUGGCCGAGUAUGGAUCAAGCGUCUCGGUCAUUAGCUUGGCAGCUAUGCAACAUGCCGUCUCGCCAGCACAACUUCAACCCAUCUGCACAGGUUCAGCGACGCCCCCCUUUCCAUGUCCUCUCGAUGGCAGGAUUACCUCGAUCUCUGGUGCAGCCGUGGUGUUCUGGUUCUUCUUUCUCGCUUGCAGAAGAUAAGCUUUCUAAGCACAAGACUCUUCAGCUUACUGAAAACUUUCUUACCCACAAAACUUCUUGCUGA